RNAcentral lists this long non-coding RNA (233 nucleotides) under Capsicum annuum. Its description in RNAcentral is "long non-coding RNA (CANN_LNC006441)". Lineage: Eukaryota; Viridiplantae; Streptophyta; Magnoliopsida; Solanales; Solanaceae. The record is from RNAcentral.
ACAAGAUAAUAAAUAACAUUGAAAAUCUAGAAUUAGAUAUACAUUAUAGCACAGAUAGGAUAAAUUAUUACACAGAAAUUUGUAACUCUGCAAUUACUACAGGAUAAAAAAAAUUAAUGAAUAUAUCUUACGAAAAAAGUAAAUUAUUAAAAGAUAUUGAAACAAAAUAUCCACGCACUAAUAAAAAUAGAUUCAAUAGAAACCUACUAAAUCUAUUAUACCUAUUAAAUCCG